GUCGAGAAUCUUCCACAAUGCGCGAAAGCGUGACGGAGCGACACCGCGUGAUGGAUGAAGUCCUUCGGGGCGUAAACAUCUUUUAUAAAGGAGGAAAUUUUUGACGUUACUUUAUGAAUAAGGGGCUCCCAAUCUCGUGCCAGCAGGAGCGGUAAUACGAGAGCCUCAAGCGUUAUCCGGAAUCGUUGGGCGUAAAGGGUGCGUAGGUGGUUUGAUUAGUCUCCCGUUAAAACUUCGAGCUUAACUCGAAAAGAGCGGGGGAAACGGUCAAACUAGAGUAUGUGAGAGGUGUGUGGAACUCAUGGUGUAGGGGUGAAAUCCGUUGAUAUCAUGGGGAACACCAAAAGCGAAGGCAGCACACUGGCACAUCACUGACACUGAGGCACGAAACCUAAGGUAGCGAAUGGGAUUAGAAACCCCUGUAGUCC
RNAcentral lists this ribosomal RNA (428 nucleotides) under uncultured bacterium. RNAcentral describes it as "bacterial SSU rRNA". It matches the Rfam family "Bacterial small subunit ribosomal RNA", at positions 354 to 796 of the family's 1533-position model. The record is from RNAcentral.